RNAcentral lists this unclassified non-coding RNA (755 nucleotides) under Hevea brasiliensis (rubber tree). Lineage: Eukaryota; Viridiplantae; Streptophyta; Magnoliopsida; Malpighiales; Euphorbiaceae. The record is from RNAcentral.
GGGGCAUGGACAGUGGGGAAGGUAGACCUAGCUCUCUGUUGUCAAACUCACUAGUCGAUCUUAGUUGGGAGCAAUACUGAGUUGCUGUAAUGCCUAGUUCAAGAGUUUGAGUUUGAACUGUCCAUUGAUAUAAUAGGUCAGCAAUGGUCCUGCAAAGUUGCUGUCUAAAGAAAACUGCCUCCUUGGAAACCAAUGCUCGGACUAACGAAGCUCCAUCUGCAGUCAUUAGAAGCUUCCUAAGAACAACACCAUCUCUGGCCGGUAAAAGCAUCAAGACCAAGUGUGCAACAUCAAAAACACCAGAGAAUGACCUAUUUGUUAAAUAAUCAAGGGAAUUUUCAUGCUUUGAUGCUGCUUCUCUAUUCAAAACUUUACUAGUUGAUCCUACUUUCAAUAAAAGGGCAAGCCUGUCCCACCGGAAUUCUUUCCUUCUAUUUAAAACCACCGAAUGUAAAAUUUUCCUUGUUUCAGCUGAAUUUUCAGUGAGUAGUUUUCUGACAACAUAUGGGUAUGCAGCUUCAAAUGUCUUAAAGUUUGGAUCUGCAGCCAUCGCCAGACCUUCCAGGGAUGCAAGAGAUCGUAGAACAAGUGUGUAGUAUGGCGGCAUGCGGAAGUGAUAUUUGAGGGCCAUAGACCAUAUUUUGCUCAGAACCUUCGUGAACUUGACAUCAGGAAUUCCAUCCCUAAAUUCCACCUCCCCCAAUGAAUCUUCCAGUUCCAUUGUAACUUGCCGAAUGUUAGUCCCUGGCCUUAUG